This 406-nucleotide ribosomal RNA is filed under the name uncultured bacterium. RNAcentral's name for it is "partial 16S ribosomal RNA". It matches the Rfam family "Bacterial small subunit ribosomal RNA", at positions 30 to 526 of the family's 1533-position model. The record is from RNAcentral.
AUUGAACGCUGGCGGCAAGCCUAACACAUGCAAGUCGAACGAGUGGCGGCCGGGUGAGUAAUGUCUGGGAAACUGCCUGAUGGAGGGGGAUAACUACUGGAAACGGUAGCCAAUACCGCAUACCAUCGGAUGUGCCCAGAUGGGAUUAGCUAGUAGGUGGGGUAAAGGCUCACCUAGGCGACGAUCCCUAGCUGGUCUGAGAGGAGGACGAGCGACACAGGAACUGAGACACGGUCCAGACGCCUACUGGAGUCGGCAGUGGGGAGUAUUGCACGAUGGGGGCAAGCCUGAUGCAGCCAUGCCGCGUGUAUGAAUAAGGCCUUCUGGUUGUAAAGUACUUUCAGCGGGGAUGCGUUACCCGCAGAAGAAGCACCGGCUAACUCCGUGCCAGCAGCCGCGGUAAUAC